GUAGGUGAACCUGCGUAGGGAUCAUUA
This 27-nucleotide ribosomal RNA is filed under the name Microascus anfractus. RNAcentral's name for it is "partial 18S ribosomal RNA". The record is from RNAcentral. Lineage: Eukaryota; Fungi; Ascomycota; Sordariomycetes; Microascales; Microascaceae.